CCGCCUUCCUGCCUGCCCUCGAGCCUACCUGCCACGCUGUAACUUCUGGACACUGACCUUGUUAAUAAUAUUUUGUUUGUCCACGACCAUUCUCUUGCCCGCCCCUUGGAUUAUAAUUAAUAUCAGACUCAAACCAUCUGCCUCCCGUGUCUGCAUCUGGGUCUCGCCCUUUGCCCUUAAAGUGCACUACUUUUGACCAGCGCCCUAUGGAACACAGACUGAGAGAUAGUGACUCAGCCUGAUUGCUUGUUGUUGGUAAGCAAAGCAGGUCUCCCACUAGUCAACAGACAGAGAAUAAUGACGUUCCUUCUACAAAAAAACUCCCUCCAUUGGAGAAUGCUCGGGGGACCUUUGGCAGUAUUACGCAGUCAGCCAUAACUAAAAGAUCAUCAAAGGGCCUGUUUGCAGCAGUAGGCUAAGAGUCUGAAUGGAUGGGGAUCGUCAGAGGCUGCGUCCCAAAUGGUACCCUGUGAUGAAGCCAGAGUGAUGAGAGAGAGUUGUUAACCCCUCUGUCAGAAAGCCCCCAGGCUUUUCAACAGUUGUCUAUCUGUUUUUCUUCCCUCCUUUCCACUACUAAGUGCAAAAACACCUACUUAUUAGCGCAAUACCUGUAUGUAUUCACCCUUGGAACCAAACAUACAAACCUCAUCACCAUUUUGUGACAUCACUCCAAAUCACCUAGACAAAAUGUGUUAGCCCUUAGGGCUGUGGGUGGGGCAAUAAUUUAGAAAAGUACCUUCAGUGCACAAAGCAGACACACACCAUAUUGCAAUACAAUAGAUAGUCUAAAACACACAACAUUUUGGAAAUACAAGUAGUACAUUUGGAGUAUUUGGCUGGUUGGAUUUUUAGAGGGAGAAGCUAUUGCACAACAAAAAAAAUACAAACAUCAAUAAAUGGAUACAUUCCAAACAGGCAAGUGAAGUAAACAUCUUCUGAUUGUACAGUAAAUAUGCAUCCCAAAUUGUGCCCUAUAUUCCCUUCAUAGUGCAAUACUUUUGACCAAAGCUCAACAAAGUAGUGCACUAUAUAGGGAAUAGGGAACCAUUUUGGACACAUCCUAUAUGCACUGGACCCAUUAGCAUGCUAACAAGAACCCUAUCUCAGUGCCUCAUUUGCAUAUCCAGUCUCCCCUGCGGAAUACACAAUCAAUGUUCAAACUAGGGAAAAUAAACAAAUCAAAUAAAAUAAAAUAAAAAAAUAGUCACAUGCGCCGAAUGCAACAGGUAGACCUUACAGGUACCUUACAGUGAAAUGCUUACUUACAAGCCAUUAACCAACAAUUCAGUUUUAAGAAAAAUACCCCCAAAAAGUAUGAAAAAAAUAAAAAUAAAUAAAUAAAUAAAAGUAACAAAUAAUUAAAGAGCAGCAAUAAAACAACAAUAGAGAGGCUAAAACAACAGAGUCAAUUUUCUGGGGCACCGGUUAGUUGAGGUAAUUGAGGUAAUAUGUACAUGUAGGUAGAGUUAUUAAAGUGACUAUGCAUAUAUAAUAACAGAGUGUAGCAGCAGCAUAAAAGUGUGUGUGUGUGUGGGGGGGGGGGGCAAUGCAAAUACUCUGGGUAGCCAUUUGAUUAGAUGUUCAGGAGUCUUAUGGUUUCGGGGUAGAAACUGUUUAGAAGCCUCUUGGACCUAGACUUAGAGCUCUGGUACUGCUUGCCGUGUGGUAGCAGAGAGAACAGUCUAUGACUAGGGUGGCUGGAGUCUUUGACUCCAGGGCCUUCCUCUGACACUGCCUGGUAUAGAGGUCCUGGAUGGCAGGAAGCUUGGCCCCGGUGAUGUACUGGGCCGUAUGCACUACCCUCUGUAGUGCCUUGCGGUGGGAGGCCAAGCAGUUGCCAUACCAGUCAGUGAUGCAAGACGUCAGGAUGCUCUCGAUGGUGCAGCUGUAGAACAGUGUCCAUUUAGAGUAUGAUGGAGUUCAUCAAUAAGAUUAUACAGUCAAAAUGUCUUCAUAUACUCAAAUGUUUUAUUUAAUGAUGCACAGUAAUCAAUGUUUCUGAAUUAGCUCAGACCUAAAUGUGUUAGCUGUUAGCCAGAUAGCUAAUGUAUGUCCCUAGUUCAUAGCCAGGCUGAAAAUAGAUGUGAAAAUGUACUUUCUUGAAGGGUGAGCAUUUCUCCUUACAAAGGCAUCAUUGGAAGGAAAACUUUCUCUUCUCAAUGUCCUCUAAAAACAACAGAAACAAGAGCAGGCAUGUUCACAGUACCUUACACACAUCACUUGAUGAGAGUGGACAGCUACAUUUGAUGCAGCAACAUCCUCCACCCCUCCCGUUCCCCCCUUUCUCACAGACAAAAACAGUUUCCUCUAGCCCUUAAAAAAACAAGGCUUUACAGUCAAAGUCUUUUGAUGCAGGGAAAAAACUGAGCAAACACACUUGCGGGGCUCCCUUGUUUAUUCUAUUCUUGAAUUUUUUAAAAUACUGCAAAUAAUUAACAAUAUAGCGGCAGAUGCAAAAUUACAGCUCAUAAAUAUGCAAAUGAACGACGCAGAAAUUGCAUUAAAUAUAUUUAUUCUCUCCCGACCAAUGCCUUUCAUCUUGAGUGAUUACAAGAUGCAGAAAAUACAUCUCCUGGUACUAUAGCCUAGUGCUGCCUGAAACCCAGCCGUGUAAUGAAGGAUAUAAAUCAGCACCUUGGACAGCGGCAGCAAAUGCACCCAGAUACAACAAGAGGCUGAUUUCAGCACCACAGACCGCACCACGGUGACGUUUCCUGCUGAAACAACCUCUCUCGCUCUGCCUUCCAAAGUAGAAGUGUUGACUACACAGAGUUAUUCAGGUUUGCCGCACACUGACUCCUGUAUGCACAGGAUGCAUAUUGAAGCCUCUGGCUAAAUGGAAAUGUGUGCUCCUAUUCUGAGAUCAGUGGACCUUUUCUAUCUGCUGCAGUGGGGGGUGCAUACACUGAGUGUACAAAACAUUAGGAACAUCUGCUCUUUCCAUGACAUAGACUGACCAGGUGAAAGCUAUGAUCCCUUAUUGAUGGCACUUGUUAAAUCCACUUCAGUCAGUGUAGAUGAAGGUGAAGUGACACGCUAAUGAAGGAUUUUUAAGCCUUGACAGAAUUGAGACAGGGAUUGUGUAUGUACGUGUGCCAUUCAGAGGGACAAAAGAUAAAAGUGCCUUUGAAUGGGGUAUGGUAGUAGGUGCCAGGCGCACCGGUUUGUGUCAUGAACUGCAACGCUGCUGGGGUUUUCACAGCAGUUUCCCGUGUGUAUUGUCCACCACCCAAAGGACAUCCAGUCAACUUGACACAACUGUGGGAAGCAUCGGAGUCAACAUGGGCCAGCAUCCCUGUGGAAUGCUUUCAAACACCUUAUAGAGUCCAUGCCCAGACAAAUUGAGGCUGUUCUGAGGUCAAAAUGGGGGAAGACUCAGUGUAUAUCACAGAGCAGGAGAUAUCCCCUAUGUAUCUUCUCACAGCCAAGUGCACAUUCCGUGGAUAAAAGGAAACGGCUUGCCCGCUGAGACAAUCUGAAUUCCAUAUAUGGGCACAUACGUAGCAAAGUCAAUGACCACAUAUGUUUA
Oncorhynchus tshawytscha (Chinook salmon) is the source of this 3529-nucleotide long non-coding RNA. The record is from Ensembl. NCBI's taxonomy places the organism in Eukaryota, Metazoa, Chordata, Actinopteri, Salmoniformes, Salmonidae.